AAGUCGUAACAAGGUUUCCGUAGGUGAACCUGCGGAAGGAUCAUUAACACUUUUCAAAAGUUUUUCUUUUUUUGGAAAGAAAAACUUAUUCUACCCACCUUUUGGAUGAACUUUUUCGAUGGGGAGAUAUCAUACAGCUUCUAUUUGGAAGUGGUGUGUAUAUCUUUUUUAUCAUUUUUUUCAUUAUUUCAAACUUUUAACCCCAAAAAACCAAUUUAUUUUACAAAUUGCUAUAUCUUGAAAAAGCCUAACAUGUGUGUGGGUUUGUGUUGGGUGAUCGAUGCAAAUUGAUCACCGCCAAAAGCAAACCUAUCACUUCAAGAAAUCCUAAAAACUAAGAAAACAACUCUUAACAACGGAUAUCUUGGCUCUC
This 373-nucleotide unclassified non-coding RNA is filed under the name fungal sp. RNAcentral describes it as "partial internal transcribed spacer region". The stretch from base 1 to 46 matches the Rfam family "Eukaryotic small subunit ribosomal RNA", at positions 1786 to 1831 of the family's 1831-position model. The record is from RNAcentral. Lineage: Eukaryota; Fungi.